UACGGAGGGAGCUAGCGUUGUUCGGAAUUACUGGGCGUAAAGCGCACGUAGGCGGAUCAGUCAGUUAGGGGUGAAAUCCCAGGGCUCAACCCUGGAACUGCCUUUAAUACUGCUGGUCUGGAGUCCGAGAGAGGUGAGUGGAAUUCCGAGUGUAGAGGUGAAAUUCGUAGAUAUUCGGAGGAACACCAGUGGCGAAGGCGGCUCACUGGCUCGGUACUGACGCUGAGGUGCGAAAGCGUGGGGAGCAAACAGGG
Molecule: ribosomal RNA, 254 nt
Filed under: uncultured bacterium
Lineage: Bacteria
Description: partial 16S ribosomal RNA
Rfam family: Bacterial small subunit ribosomal RNA
Source: RNAcentral